RNAcentral lists this ribosomal RNA (301 nucleotides) under uncultured bacterium. Its description in RNAcentral is "partial 16S ribosomal RNA". It matches the Rfam family "Bacterial small subunit ribosomal RNA", at positions 509 to 809 of the family's 1533-position model. The record is from RNAcentral.
CAGUAGCCGCGGUAAUACGAAGGGGGCUAGCGUUGCUCGGAAUUACUGGGCGUAAAGGGCGCGUAGGCGGACAGUUCAGUCGGGGGUGAAAGCCCGGGGCUCAACCUCGGAAUUGCCUUCGAUACUGGCUGUCUUGAGUAUGAGAGAGGUGUGUGGAACUCCGAGUGUAGAGGUGAAAUUCGUAGAUAUUCGGAAGAACACCAGUGGCGAAGGCGACACACUGGCUCAUUACUGACGCUGAGGCGCGAAAGCGUGGGGAGCAAACAGGAUUAGAUACCCGCGUAGUCCCUGUCUCUUAUAA